Long non-coding RNA from Mastomys coucha (southern multimammate mouse), 883 nucleotides. RefSeq lists it as uncharacterized. The transcript has 2 exons. The record is from RefSeq and is a predicted model, not a curated record. Lineage: Eukaryota; Metazoa; Chordata; Mammalia; Rodentia; Muridae.
CUAGAGAUGGGUUGUUCUCUAUCUCACUCUGGCACACUCUGCCAGUAGAUUCCACCAAAGCAGAAGUGUCAUGAACCUGUAUCAAUAGAAAACUUGUGACUGUAGAUCAUUUUGAAAAGGAGCCAAGUGAAUUCUGUCAAUUUUUCAAAUGUUAACUCAAACUUGAUUACCCAAGAUACACAGUCACAUGCCUAUUUAGGACCCCAGGAGCUAGAAGAAGUCAUUGGAUCCACUGGAGCUGGAGUUAUAGGAGAUUGUGAGCCACCAUGUGGAUGCUGAGAACAGAACCCAAGUCCUCCGGAAGAGCUGUCAGUGCUCCUAACCAUGAGCCAUCGCUCCAGCCUCAAAAUUCUUAACAUGCAAAUAUGUAUAAUGCAUUCAUAAGCAAAUGAAGAAAAGCCUCAAAUAUGGCAGUUCUCACAUCUGCAACUGAUCACGUGCUCAUAGCUGUGGAUAAGUAGAUUCUCGGCCACCCAUUCUACAGUCUUUUCUGAACUGCUCUUGGUUGCGGGUCUAGGAGGGUGACUACCUUCAUUUCUGAGGACUGCGAGCCAUGUACAGUCUUAUUUGAAUUGUGUUGUAAGUUAUCCAUUGAUGCUUAUCAUAUUAUGUGCCAAAAAGGGUCACUUGAGAGAACUUCUGUGGUCCACGCAUAUUCUUCCUUAGAUCUGCUAUGAUGCUGGACCCAUAAUCUCCCCCCUGAAAGUCAGGACCAGACAGCUUAUUAGCUGUUUUUUGUUUGUUUGUUUGUUUUUUGUUUUUGUUUUUUUUUUUUUUUUUUUUUUUUUUUUUAGCUCUUGUUUCAGAAACAUAAAGGGGGCCAUUCUAAAAUAGAAUCUUCAGUGUUUAAUGUGUAUGCUUAGUAUAUAUGUAUGUUUAUUUU